ACAGAGGGUGCAAGCGUUAUUCGGAUUUAUUGGGCGUAAAAUGUUAGUAGGCGGUACAUUAAGUCUAAAGUUAAAUUGCUUAGCUCAACUAAGCCUCGCUUUAGAUACUGAUGAACUAGAGUAUGUUAGAGGUUAAUGGAAUUCCCGGUGUAGUGGUGAAAUAUGUAGAUAUCGGGAGGAACUUCAGAAGCGAAGGCGAUUAACUGGGGCAUAACUGACGCUGAGGAACGAAAGCGUGGGGAGCAAAAAG
Molecule: ribosomal RNA, 250 nt
Filed under: uncultured prokaryote
Description: partial 16S rRNA
Rfam family: Bacterial small subunit ribosomal RNA
Source: RNAcentral